UUAGUGUAGGCCUUCAUUUCUU
RNAcentral lists this non-coding RNA (22 nucleotides) under Arabidopsis thaliana (thale cress). Lineage: Eukaryota; Viridiplantae; Streptophyta; Magnoliopsida; Brassicales; Brassicaceae. The record is from RNAcentral.